Long non-coding RNA from Bombyx mori (domestic silkworm), 1171 nucleotides. RefSeq lists it as uncharacterized. The transcript is spliced from 2 exons. The record is from RefSeq and is a predicted model, not a curated record. Lineage: Eukaryota; Metazoa; Arthropoda; Insecta; Lepidoptera; Bombycidae.
GUAUAAUUAAUAGGCAGCUGAUAAAAUUCCACUAACAAGGAAUAUCGGUUUCCUGUGAACUAUGUCGAUUUUUAUUAGUUAUUGGAGUUUACUCCUUUAGAAUCGAUUUACAUAUAUAGGCCCGGGGUAUGAAAAUUAUGGGGACCAAAAUCGUACUAGCAUGUCACACGAAAUGCGUUAUGCGCCUGAUUGCGCAUGUCACACGAAAUGCGUUAUCGCAGGUGACGCCGGGCUGCUGCGCCGGCAGUCCGCCACAAAGCCUCGUACUGAUCGCGCGUUUCUCUCAUUAUUGUAUUUUCAUAUAUUUGUUAGUCGUUUGUUUUGUGUCUCGUUAAUUUGUUAAUAAUCUGUAGUGUAUCGUGUUGUCGUAAUAUAGAACUAUUUCUCGUAUUGUUUCGUUUAAUUUUUUAUAUCCAGUAAACUCCAGUCGUGCGUCGGAGCGGACACACACACUUUUUUUUUUAACCGCUAGAUGUCGCAGUGCCCACGACUCAGUUACGCUCGUAACGCGAAACGAGCAUGACGUCGAGGGUUAAAAAGUAUUUUGCAAUUUUUGUGGUUGCAGUCAUCGUCAUAGCGUGUAUAUGUAUCGGUGUGUUGCUGAUUAAAGGUGUGAAAAUGGAAGACGUUACAAUUAAACCGAAUUCUGCACAGAAUGUAAGUGAAGAACAAUCCGCUGCCUCACAAACUGGACGAGAAGGGACAUACAAACAUGAAGGCGAAUCACACAGAGUGGAUUUAAGCGGCCAACAUAUCAAUGGCGACGUUAUAAUAUCCUGGCACAAUAAUGAAACAGCCAAAAAUUCUCCUCAAGAAAACGAAACAAUACCUCCGUAGUUUUCUUAAUGGACCCAAAGCGUUAAAUGCUCAGAGUCCUUGCUCCUUGUUAAUCCUUCGCUGGGAUAAGGAAAUUAUAUCUAUACUAAUAUUAUAAAGAGGAAAGAUUUGUUUGUUUGUUUGUUUCGAAUAGGCUCCGAAACUACUGGACCGAUUUGAAAAAUUCUUUUUCCAUUAGAAGCCGACAUUGUCCCUGAUGAACAUAGGCUACUUUUUUUUUUUUUUUUUUUUGAUUCAUGUAUGUUUUAAUGUUUCCGAAGCGAAGCGAGGGCGGGUCGCUAGUUUACCAUAAAUUAAAUUACAAUCUUACAAAUAAAUGUGUGUGAAAAUAAAA